This 253-nucleotide ribosomal RNA is filed under the name uncultured bacterium. RNAcentral describes it as "partial 16S ribosomal RNA". It matches the Rfam family "Bacterial small subunit ribosomal RNA", at positions 524 to 776 of the family's 1533-position model. The record is from RNAcentral.
UACGAAGGGGGCUAGCGUUGUUCGGAUUUACUGGGCGUAAAGCGCACGUAGGCGGAUCGUUAAGUUGGGGGUGAAAUCCUGGAGCUCAACUCCAGAACUGCCUUCAAUACUGGCGAGCUAGAGUCCGGAAGAGGUGAGUGGAACUCCUAGUGUAGAGGUGGAAUUCGUAGAUAUUAGGAAGAACACCAGUGGCGAAGGCGGCUCACUGGUCCGGUACUGACGCUGAGGAGCGAAAGCGUGGGUAGCAAACAGG